Molecule: ribosomal RNA, 636 nt
Filed under: Triticum aestivum (bread wheat)
Lineage: Eukaryota; Viridiplantae; Streptophyta; Magnoliopsida; Poales; Poaceae
Description: partial small subunit ribosomal RNA
Source: RNAcentral
AUGGCAGCAACGAUGACGGUCGAGGAGGUGAGGAAGGCGCAGCGGGCGGAGGGACCGGCCAUGGUGCUGGCGAUCGGCACGGCGACGCCGGCAAACUGCGUGUACCAGGCCGACUACUCGGACUACUACUUCAAGAUCACCAAGAGCGACCACAUGGCCGACCUCAAGGAGAAGUUCAAGAGGAUGUGUGACAAAUCGCAGAUCAGGAAGAGAUACAUGCACCUAACGGAAGAGAUCCUACAGGAAAACCCCAACAUGUGUGCCUACACGGCGCCUUCUCUGGACGCACGCCAGGACAUUGUGGUUGUGGAGGUUCCCAAACUCGGGAAGGCGGCGGCACAGAAGGCGAUCAAGGAGUGGGGCCAACCGCGGUCUAAGAUCACCCACCUUGUUUUCUGCACCACCUCCGGUGUGGACAUGCCAGGUGCUGACUACCAGCUAACCAAGAUGCUCGGUCUUCGCCCGUCCGUGAAGCGCCUCAUGAUGUAUCAGCAGGGCUGCUUUGCCGGCGGCACGGUGCUUCGCCUGGCCAAAGACCUCGCUGAGAACAACCGCGGCGCGCGCGUGCUGGUGGUCUGCUCGGAGAUCACCGCGGCGCGCGCGUGCUGGUGGUCUGCUCGGAGAUCACCGCGGUGA